GGGAUCAACACUCGAGCGUGCCAUCCCUUGGUCAGUGGGAUCAAUACCCGAGCCUGCCUUCACUUGGUUAGUGGGAAAAAUAUCUCAACCAACCGUACUAUUGAUCAGUGGGAUAACAACCCGAGUCUACCAUAGCAUCGGCCAGUGGAUAAUAUCCGAACUGCCUUCAAUUGGUCAGUGGGAUGCAUACCAGAGCCUGCCGAUAUUGUUUUAAUUGGUCAGUGGAAUCAAUGCUCGUGCCUGCUUUCAAUUGGUCAGUAGGACCCAUACCCGAGUCUGCCUUCAAUUGGUCAGUGGGAUCCAUACCCGAACCUGCCGACAUUGUUUUAAUUGGCCAGUGGGAUCAACACCCGAGCCUGCCUUCAAUUGGUCAGUGGGAUCCAUAUCCGAGCCUGCCGACAUGGUUUUAAUUGGCCAGUGGGAUCAAUAUCCGAGCCUGCUUUGACAAUUGGUCAGUGGGAUGAGACCCGAACCUGUCUUGAUAAUCGGUCAGUGGGAUGAGACCCGAACCUGCCGUGAGAAUCUGUCAGUGGGAUAACACCCGAGCCUGCCUUAAGAAUCUUUCAACAAGAAAUUAAAUUUGAUUUGUCAAGAAACAAGAAAUUAAAUUUGAUUUUCUAAGAAACAAAAAUUUGAACUUGAUUUUUUUAUUUUUGACUUUUUGAAUUUUCUGAUUUUUUUGAUUUUUUUGAUUUUUUUGAUUUUUUUGAUUUUUUUGAUUUUUUUUAUUUUGAUUUUUUUUCGAGAGAAUCUUUUCAAAAAACAUUUUGGUCCAGCGUAGGGCCCUUUUUUUUUCUUUCUUCUCUUUCUGCGGUAUCGGCCUUCCACAUCACUAGAUGUUUUUUCGUCGAUUUCAGCCAUGGAUACCUGCACAGGGGGCUUACCAAAGUACAAUAUGCACUAAUGUUUUUUUUUAUUUGAUUGAUUUUUUUUCUUCUGCAUUGAUGCACAGUAUGAUUGAUUCAAAAAUAUCUUAUUUGACUCUUUGGACGAAAUCCACAAAUGUGUUACAAGAAUUUGCCCCAGUGUGGGCCUAUUUUGCAAAAUCUCACAAAUAAAAGAAUUUGUCCCAGUGUAGGUCCAUUUGAUUGAAAAAUUUUAUUUUGAUGAUUCUCCAUUUAUCAAAGUAAGAAAUUGUGUUUCCUAGAAUCUUAGGAAGUAAUCACAUACCCACCUAUAAUGUGAAAAAAAUAAAAUCCUUGCCUAAACUCAUAUAGCAAAUUUCAUGAUGGAUUUCUCAAAAUAAUAUCAAAUUAUAAAAGAUUUCUUCCUCACUUUAGCAUCAAUGCUUUAGGCAAUGGGUCACCGCUUUUUGUUAACUCAUCUUUCAGGACCAAUUAAGUCGGUAUUAUUUCUGAUUUUGCAGUGACUAAGAAAAAUGGGAGGUUAGGAUCUGUCUUAUUCUUGUGCCCAAUGGUAUGUAAUCCAUUCCAUAUCACAUCUUAGUGAAAGCAAAUAGUUUGUCACCCCUAUUUCUUAAGAAAAUUUAGUCACAUAUAAGUUUUUUAGGCAUGUAACAUGUGGGCAGAAACGAUAGCUGAACAUGUGGAAACAGGUUAUAGGCAUAAGAUCACAAAUGAUUGAUGGAUUCCUUAGAAGUAUAAUCCUCACUUCGAGUUGUCAUGAAGGGUAAGUCAACGAUGGAUUUUAUGAGCUUGUAAUGUGGCUUGAAAACGAUAGUUAAAGAAUAAGACUUUCAAGGACGUUGCACCGAAAAUCGCAUUUUUUCAAAAUUGCCCCUAUUUUAAACUAGAAAAAUCUUGGACUUCGUUUGACUUUUAUCAUUACUUAACGGGGACUUUCAGCAUCGAAAUUUUUUGCAUUUCUUUUGCAUUCAUUUUGCUUGCCUUUUCUUUUCUUUUCAAAUGUGCCCUUGCGGAUUUUCACAUGAUGAGCAGUGUCAGCCUCAUCUAAUCAAUUCAGAAAUACAUCUAAAAAAUUUCUCGGCAUCAGUAUAUGAGCAUCACUUGCCAAUUAAUUUAGAAAAUUUCUCGACAGAGAUAUUGCAAAGAACAGAAGUCAGGGCUUCCGGCUUUUGUAAUGAGGUCAGGUGGGGUGUUUAGAAAGGUUAAGGCUUGAAAGCGGAUUUCAAAAGCGUUUGAAUGAUCUGAGAUCGCAUUAUUACGCCAACCCUAUUUUAGGGUUAAAUCAGAACUUGCCCCAGUUUAUUCUCAAUUGAGGCUCUUUUCUCUUUCAUUUUGUUCUCUUUUUCGGCCUUCUGCCAUUCUUUUGAACUUUUCCAAAAAUAUGCCCUAGUUUAUGUUCAACUGAGGUUCUCUUUUCUUUUUUUUUUCUUCUUUUGAUUUUGUUGCUUUAUCACUUUUCACCUCUUGGGACUUUUCUUUCUUUUUCAACUCAAAUUUGCCCCAGUGUGGGGUUUGCAAUUCUCAGGGGUUGCCAAACAAAAUAUUUUAUUCUGAAGGCUCAAAAGGGAUAACUAGGGAUAGAAUAUUUGAUUGGAAAAGAAGAGGGCCUGAUUUUUCAUUCCGUUCCUUACAUUAAUUCUGAAAGGAAACUUUCAUUAAUGCGAAAUUUCUUGCAUGUAUCUGAAUUAAUUCACUGAGAAAGACCCUUGUUCAUCCAUAUCCGUGAAACAUAGGGGAUCCGUCAGACAAAACUCUUCCUUUUUCUCUUUUUUUUUUCCUUUCUUCUUUUCAAAAUUGAAGCCCAGAUAUCGAUGGUAGAAUCAAAUUUUCCCCAUUUGGUGAUUCCCUCUUUUCUUUUAAUUUUAGCAUUUUUGCCUUUUUCUCCUUUUGGAAAAUUCUCCAAUCUCCUUCCCCAAUGUGGGGUGCGAUCGUAAAUGCUUUUGAAAAGAAACACCCAUUUUAGCUCAAAUGAGGAUGCAAGGGAUAAAUAGUGUUUAGGUUGUAGAAACGAUGGCCAAAGUAUCAUUCUUACACCUCAUGACAACCAAAGUAACGAAAUGGUCAUUGAAAAUCCACUCCCUUUUUGAUAUCUAAGAAUUUUUCAAUGUAGGGUAGUGAUCAUUAAGGCUCUUAUUUGAAACGAAAUUAUUCUUUUAAAGGUUCAAAUAGGAAAGCAAAUGAUAAAAAUCUGUAUGGGUAGAGAAACGAACGCUCGAAAUAUCAUUCCAAAUUUUCAAAAAAAACAAGAAUAACGCACAUUUUGCUUUCACUUAGAUGUGAAUUGAAUAUAAUUAGACACAGUGGGCAUUUUUCAAGCAAAGAUUGCCCCAAUUUGCAAUUUAUUUUGGGGUUAAGUGAAGGAGAAAAGAUAUCUCAUUGGGUUUUUUGAGUGACCGCUCACUUUUUUUUUUUUUUUUUUUUUUACUCUGAGCACUCUUAUUGUAUAGUUCGGAUCACCAAUCUAGUGUACGUAAGGAUUUUAGAAAGCAUACACUUGUGAAUUUUCAGGCUGGAGGUUGAGGAAAUCUCAAUUUAGUUUUAUUUCUUAAAAUUCAUCAUGAAAUCUCCAAUGAGCAAAAAUAAAGAAUAAAAUGUACAUGAAUAUACACAAAACAAUAAUUGUCCAAAAACUUUCUUGCUGAAAAAGUUUAAAACAAAAUUUCUCGUUCAAUUAUAGUACAAAUGAGAAGAGAAAACUUUCUAAAGAGCUCCACUUAUAUGCAUUCUUUUGUCUCCUUUUCUUUUGGGACAAAAUGUAUUAACAAGUCAAAUAUACAGAAUUUUCUGUGAAAAAUAAUUAUGAACUCUCUUAGAGGAUUUAGCCUAACGCUUCUAGAUAGAUCCUUUAUGUUUUCAUUACAAGACUUGCCCAAGAAUCAAGUAAUUCUUUUCAAAUUUUAUCGGAUCAAAAUUAUUAUCAGAUAUAGAAAAUAUUUUCACCUUAUUGAAGCAUUUGUAUGAAUGCAGGGGAGGGGGAAAACAAAAGGAAAAAUACCCCGAGUUAGUAGGCAAGAUUAUAAAAUCGGUAUGCAUGUCCUAUGGGGGAGCCCUUUUAUACCAAGGGUAGGCCUAGCAUGAAAAUGUAAUCCUCUAAGGUAGGUACCAUACAAUACCUGAUGAAUCUAACCAAUUUAUUGAGUGAAAAAUAAUUUGGAAAAAUUUGUCCAAUUGGAGUGAAAAAGGGACAUUUGUCCAAAAAAAUGAGGACAAAGUCCAAAUGGAUUGUUUGUUUUGAUCGACACACAAAAUGAUGUGUGAAAAAAAGUCUACUCUUAAAAGGAUUACAAUGUUCCGACUAAUUUAUUCAGUGAACCUUAGACUUAAACCCUAAAAGGGGAAUAAGCGGGUCAAAUGGAUAGGAUGAAAUUGAUGAUUUAUUCAAAAUCGACCGAAUUGCCCUCAAAAUGGGUAAAUUGGCCAAAUGAGUGAAAUGGAGUUAAUGAAAAAAAAUUGAUUAGAUUGUCCUAAAAUUUAAUGAAUUGAUAAAAUGGAUUGGAUAAAAUUGAUGGUUUAUUUGAAAAUCGAUUCAAUUAUCUGCACAUUGGUAGUUUCAAAAAAAAUCAUUGCAAUGCAUUAGUCUAUCAGUCUUCUAAAAUCAAGAUUUGGCCUCUACAUUUAUCGUCUCAUCAAUGAAGAAUCAUUUGUGAAUUUCUUCAAGUUAAUGUCCUUUACGCAAGGGAAUUUUUUUACCAAUUUUGUUUAAAAUGGCCAAAAGAUGAUUGUUAGAUGCCCAUAUUCUAAUGUACAAAAAUUGCUUGCCGUCUUUGAAAAGAUCGGAUCCUGCCUUACCUCGUGCACUACCUCUUUGGAUGGUACAGGAAAUACAAAUGUGCAAGUCUCAUUGGAUUAUAUAUCCGAGACACAGGGCGGUUUAUUCCUAACGUGGGAUUCCCUAAACGGCGUUCCCUUCUAAGGUGGAUGCAUGAUGUCAGUUUAUCAAAACGACUAAAUAUGCAGUACAUAAAUGAAACAUGACCUAAAGGAACUCUUUUUGUAUGUCGUGGUGAGCUUAAAAUGAAAUAUAUUCAUGCUACAAAUGCGAAGUAUUGAAUUUAAACGUGUCACAUCAAUUAGGGUAGGCUCCUAGAGAGUACCAUGCCAGAACUCUUAUGUUCUAGGCUUAUGAAUGCAAUGGAGACAAAAGCCAAGAAGAGUUAGUUCAAUCAGACAAACACACAUAACACAUUUGUAUCAAAAUAAUACAAAGAUAUAAAGCAAUAAAAGGAAUAAAGGGGUUGGAUCCCUCCCCUCGUGAAUAGUAUCCCUAAUAGGGUAAGGCAGACUCUACCCUAGGUAAACUACCAUGGAUGCAUGAGGUAUUGGCUCACUAAUGCAUCUAGACUCGACAGGUUUUAGGUCCCUGAGCCUUCAGACUUGGAAACCAAAGGUCAUUAAUCUCAAGGUUCUUUGUCGGUGGCUCGAGCGAUUCCCCAGACAUUGCUACGCACACGUUGUGUCACGGCUACAUAUCUGAGUGAAUCUAGAAAAAAUCCUCAACUUUCGACUAAAAGCUAAAGGCUAUUAACCUAAAGCUUAAAGCGGAAGAUUGAAUGACCCCUCAGAUCAUGCUACACACACAUCGUGUCGCGAUCACACGUCCAAGUGGGUCGCCUAAUCCUAAUAGGGUGGAGUGGCGUGACAAGACACUAAAAGAAAAAUAAAAGAGGAAUAAAUAAUAAAGCGUAUGCACGUAUGCUAGUGCUUCUUUUUGGAGGGGGGGAUCGAGAACCAAUGCGAGGCUCUAGGGAAAUACACCCCCCAAAUGCAAUGCAAAGUGCAGGAUCACAUAAAUAAAUCACUUAUCCAUCAAAUCAAUCGUACGCAAAUGUGCGAGGGAGUGAGUUGAUAUGCGUGAAAUGCAAAAAUCCUCAAAAAGGAAAAAUGCAAUUCUAAACACCCAAAUGUGAUAUAUAAAAAGGUUAAAAGAAGAAAAAGAUUGACUAAAUCAAAUUUGCUCGGACUCUCUAAAUCCCCAGUGGAGUCGCCAACUGUCGUCGCGCCCCAUUUUUUACGAAGAAAAAUAAAAGACGAGUUUAGAAAAAUGGCUUUUGAUUCAAUUUUUGAUUGAAAAAAAUAAAUUUUUUGAUUUAAAAAGAAAAUGAAAAAACAUGGGUCUAAACGGGACUUGAAAAUGCGACGAUUUGACCCAAAAUAUAGUUUAAAAAGGGUUUUUUGAAUGAAAAAUGGAGUUGCCACUUGGUAUAGAGUUAAGGUGUACCAAAUCACCUAAAAAAUGAAUUUUUUUUUUAAAAAGUAGAAAACUCUUUUUUAAACGACUCCAAGUCUACCAAAAUCAGAGAAAAAGAUUCGGGAGUCACAUUUGAAGAAAGGGAAUGCAAGGAUAAAAAUCCAAGGCACCCUUUCAACCUAGCCAAGGCUAGUUGCACAAUUUAGUCAAAAAUUUUCUUAUUUUACCCUUAAGAUUUAUCACAUUUGGAUGUACUAUUUGAAUGCAUACCCUAAACUUAGGAGGGUGUCGGGGGGUCAAAAUGUUUCUUCAAAGCUUACUUGGUACCAAUCACAUUAAUUGUGACGCCCAAUACGGACUCUUUGGAGAGGUCACGAAUAUGCAAGUCAUGAGACUCGAAAGAAAGAAAAGGAAAAUAAGAGUAAUUAUACAAAUAUACGUGGCCUAAAGGAAUGCAUCAUGUCGGGUACGGGUGAACUAAUGUUCGUGACUUUCAAUGUUCCCUUCAAUAGAGGGAAUACGAGCGUGCUAAGGCUAGAAAAGCCAAACUCGUCCAUAUCCCAUAUCCAAGGGAUUUCCCCUAGUCUAAUCAAGCAGAUGACCCUAUUGACUAGAAUGAAAAUGCAAAGUCCUAAAAUUGUAUUUCAAUUGCGGGAAAGGGGGUGAAGGCUCAUGUAAAAAUGUAAAACUAAAAAGGAAAAAUGAAUGAAGAUGUAAUGAAGGCAUGCAAGUAUGUGCUAGCGUGGGAGACGGCCCUAUUGGGUCUAGCAUUGGACUAGCCCUUAUUUCUACUUCCUCACUAGCAUUGGACUAGUGAGAAAUCGGACAAGGGAACCACAACUAGCAUUGGACUAAUGUGGUAUCGAGAAUUGGAUCACAACUAGCGUUGGACUAGUGUGAUAACACGUCACAUAUCAAUUAUAACUAAAUUAAUCAUGUAAAGUCUAAUGAAAGCAUGUAAACACAUAAUAUCACAUAAACACAUAACACAUAAUCAUAAUAUCUAGAUGCAAGAUCCUAAGAAAGCGGUAACACAUAGCAUGUAAGCAUGCAAAUCACACAAGCAAACAAACCCUAACUAUUACAUUUGAAGGGGCCUACUACAAUCUAAAGGGGGAAUGAAUUAAAUAAAAUGAUAUAAUAACCUAACUAUUACAAUUGUGGCAUUUAAUUGCCUUUCAAAUGAUCAAAAGUGAACUAAAUAUAUAUAUAUAUAUAUAUAUAUAUAUAUAUAUAUAUAUAUAUACCAAUCUAAAGCCAAUAAAGAGAAUGAAUAAAUAAAUGAAAUAAAUAAAUAAAUAAAUAAUAAGAAACAUACAAGAGGCAUGCAAUUAAACACACAAAGUCACAUAGGGCACGUAGAGUCAAACAAGGUCAAAUAAAGUGAGAAAUAAGGGAUAUGAUGCACCUCCCUGCAGUUGGGGCCCUAAUGAAGUGAAACUACACGUUUACCCUCCAAAAAUAAAGAAAAGGUCAAGGCAUCAUUUUAAUUAACAAAGAAUAAAUGAAAUUGAAUGAAUAAAAACAUUUAACAUCUAAACAGCUCAUAUUCACCAAAUGAGGACCCAAUUGAAAGGAAAAAGAAAGUUUGAGGGGUCCUAUUGAUGGAUUUUUCAAUUGCUUGGGCCAUAGUGAAACAAAGGGAGACUUGGGGGGCCCAAGUGCAAUUUUCAGAGAGUUAUUUCUUGCAAUUUUCAUGCAAGCUACGAAGAACAUCGCUUCUGCAAUUUUUCAACUACAUUUUCCUGCAAUUGUUGUAUUCAGUCUAAUGCAAUCUUUCCAUUCAAACCCAGCUAAUAUCUCAACCAGAUAUCCAAGCCUCAAUCCCGAUCAACGAACUCACAAAACUCAACGUCCAAACAAACCAAGAAAGAAAAGGAAAAAACUUAGGAUGGGAACAUGUUAUUUCUGGAAAAUUUUCUGCUAUUGCUGCCAUGAACAACAAAGCAUUAUUCUUUGAUCAAAAAACACAAGCACAAUCCAUCUAAAUAUGAUAAAACGUGCACUAAACAUUCAAUAAAAGAAAAUCAGCAACCAAUGGCCGCACACAGCAUCUGAACAUGCAUUUGUUUCUAGGUCCCCAACAAGAAAGGUCUAAACUUGGCUUUGUUAGAAAAAUGUUCAUAGCAUCCUAAACAAUCAGCAAAUAAAAACAAGACCAUCAAAGGAGCAACCCAAGAGAGAAAAAAAAACAGAUUUUUUUCGCUCAUACUGCUGCAUCGAAUCGAGUCUUAAGUUUGUUGCAGCGAAUUUUGUGCUCGACGCUCAGCCUAAGGCAAACUAAUGUGCUCGGCGCUCAGCCUAAGGCAAACUAAAACUCAGGCAAUAGGAUCAGCACGUGUUUUUCAUACUGUUUUAGUAGAAAAUUCUUGAGUUUAAACACCAAACAAACGGACCAAAAGGGGCGUACGAGAAUCUGGAACAUUUCUGCCACUAUUGCUGUUUUUUAUUGUCCUGUUCACAAGUUCCACAGACCAGAUCUUAUAUUGAUGAAAAACAACUUGCUACCUAUACCCUCCAUUUUCGAAACCCAACGCUAACAACACAGAAACGGAAAUCAGCAGCAGAUAACACUCAACAAACCCACUCAACUCUAUGCUCGUGAAUUCAACCUUAGCUAUCAGUACGCGGGCUCUGGCUAAAUUCGGACUGGCCAGAGUUCCUUUUGAAAGCAUUUAGACUGACUCUUUCAGCUCAAGCUUGUCACUUUAAGGCAAUUUAUCGAACAACCAACAAGCAUGAGAGAAUUUGAUAAUGCAUAAACGAAAGAAAGACAGGGAAAUGUUACCUUCGCUUCUUUUGGUAGCAAAACAGCGCUCGAGUGGCGGAGCGAUGGGCUUCAACACGGGUCAAGCGAAGCUGGGAACCGUUUCACCUGCUGCUGUGGCUGCCUUCCAGAUUCUGCACUACCUCCCUCCUUGCUUCUUCCUGGGCCGAAAGCUUUUCCUCCUCUUCUCUCGGUCUCUUUCUCUCACCCUCUUCUCGAUAUCUUUCCCUCACCCUUGUUUUUCCUUUUCUUUCUUUCUCUCGGUUUCUUACUGCCUGUCUCCGCCGCCACUCUAUUUCUCCUCUUUUCUAUCAGACUUCAGCCGCCUCCCCCCACC
Molecule: long non-coding RNA, 9158 nt
Filed under: Coffea arabica (coffee)
Lineage: Eukaryota; Viridiplantae; Streptophyta; Magnoliopsida; Gentianales; Rubiaceae
Description: long non-coding RNA (CARA_LNC006323)
Source: RNAcentral